Molecule: ribosomal RNA, 405 nt
Filed under: uncultured Eubacteriales bacterium
Lineage: Bacteria; Bacillati; Bacillota; Clostridia; Eubacteriales
Description: uncultured Clostridiales bacterium partial 16S ribosomal RNA
Rfam family: Bacterial small subunit ribosomal RNA
Source: RNAcentral
UUAGGAAUAUUGGGCAAUGGAGGAAACUCUGACCCAGCAACGCCGCGUGAAGGAUGAAGGUUUUCGGAUUGUAAACUUCUGAUCUGUGGGAAGAAAAAAAUGACGGUACCACAGGAGAAAGCUCCGGCAAACUACGUGCCAGCAGCCGCGGUAAUACGUAGGGAGCAAGCGUUGUCCGGAAUAACUGGGCGUAAAGGGAGCGUAGGUGGCAAUUUAAGUUAAAUGUGAAAGCCCGGGGCUUAACUCCGGAAUGUCAUUUAAUACUGGAUUGCUUGAGUGCAGGAGGGGUAAGCGGAAUUCCUAGUGUAGCGGUAAAAUGCGUAGAUAUUAGGAGGAACACCAGAGGCGAAGGCGGCUUACUGGACUGUAACUGACACUGAGGCUCGAAAGCGUGGGGAUCAGACA